Molecule: ribosomal RNA, 499 nt
Filed under: uncultured bacterium
Lineage: Bacteria
Description: bacterial SSU rRNA
Rfam family: Bacterial small subunit ribosomal RNA
Source: RNAcentral
CCUCCCCUUCCUUUCCUUUUCCCCUCCCCCUCUUUUUAGCAUGUGGUUUAAUUCGAAGCAACGCGAAGAACCUUACCAGGUCUUGACAUCCCUCUGACCGGUCCAUAAAGGGACCUUCCCUUCGGGGCAGAGGAGACAGGUGGUGCAUGGUUGUCGUCAGCUCGUGUCGUGAGAUGUUUGGUUAAGUCCAGCAACGAGCGCAACCCCUAUCCUUAGUAGCCAGCAAGUGAUGUUGGGCACUCUAGGGAGACUGCCAGGAACAACCUGGAGGAAGGCGGGGAUGACGUCAAAUCAUCAUGCCCCUUAUGACCUGGGCUACACACGUGCUACAAUGGUGGCUACAAAGGGAAGCAACCCUGCGAAGGCAAGCAAAUCCCAAAAAGGCCAUCCCAGUUCGGAUUGUAGUCUGCAAUUCGACUACAUGAAGCCGGAAUCGCUAGUAAUCGCAGAUCAGAAUGCUGCGGUGAAUACGUUCCCGGGUCUUGUACACACCGCCCGU